This 802-nucleotide long non-coding RNA is filed under the name Nicotiana benthamiana. RNAcentral's name for it is "long non-coding RNA (NBEN_LNC030204)". The record is from RNAcentral. Lineage: Eukaryota; Viridiplantae; Streptophyta; Magnoliopsida; Solanales; Solanaceae.
UGAAUAUAAGGUAAUUACAAAAUGAUCAUAACCUUCUUUAUGUAGUAGAGGAAUCCUAUAUAUGGUACAAUUCUAAUUACGAAAGUAAAUCCCAUGAUUGGCAUAAUUAACCGCCCUUGAUUUGAUUUGUUCCGAGAUUUUCUCCGUGAUCUUCAACUGGUUACGAAUAUCUCCUCUUUCCGUUAUUGCGCUUCGUUCGAAAUCAUAUUUGAUCUCGAUCGUUAUUGGCCUCGACCUCGUGAGCUUCUCGAUUCUCAAGUCUGAUACCUUAUCUUUAUGCCUUGGCCUAAUCCAUUACGAGGCGGACCCUCGACGUGAUUCUCUGGUCUCGAUUAAAUAGCAAAAUCGGAUAAGCCCUAUUUUAACCGUACACAAAUAUCCAUCUAUUCGGAUUUAAUUUCUUCAUUUGUACGAUUAAAGGACGGUAAAACUAAAUAAAAAAGAAGAAGAAAGUUAAACUAUUUUGAAAAUUCUUUUUUGAGCAAUCAAAUGUUACCAUAGUGAAACACUACUUUAAAUUGAAUUCCCCACGCUAGCACAAAGAGUGGAAAAACAAGAAGAAAUACAAUAUCACGCUCUUAGACUGUUACUAAAAAUUGCAAAUAUUUGCUAGAAAUCAUCGAGGCUAAUAUCAUACACAUUUUGAAAAAAGACAAACAAAUAUGCAAACUUUUGAAAAGUUGCUAGUUUGGAGAGACGCAAGAAAUAUAGAGUUUUUGCUCUUGACAGAUUUAAGCAUUGUUAAAGAUUUUAGUUUUCCUAUCAAGUAUUUCGAAGUGUACCCAAAGAAAAACAAAGAGAG